This 1586-nucleotide unclassified non-coding RNA is filed under the name Bombus terrestris (buff-tailed bumblebee). RNAcentral's name for it is "misc RNA ENSBTSG00005031110.1". Lineage: Eukaryota; Metazoa; Arthropoda; Insecta; Hymenoptera; Apidae. The record is from RNAcentral.
UCACUCACGGCCACCCUCAACAUUGGUGACCCCGACGUGAUCGACAGCAAAAACUGAGGUGUGACCGUGAUAGCACUACUGAGAGCUUUCAUCAUCGCGAAUCUAGACCUGUGGUAAGCUGGACCCUACCGCUACGACGAACACGGGACGCAAAAAGCUACUUUUACAGCGAACCUCGACACCUCCUCACCUCCGAUCGCGCGCAAAAGCAGGUGACAGGAUACGAGACGAUGACCAAGCCAGGAGUGAUGUAGCCAUCGCAAAGUUCAUGGGCAUCACCACCAGCACGUCAUACUAAAAUGAGGAACAGAGGCUCCCACACUCGUACGCAGAACGCCCGCACCGUAUUGACAGGUAUCCACCGCCACAUUGAAGACUUCGCGCAACAUCCGCACGAAUUGGACGACAGUCGGCUGACGCUUUAUUACACUAAGAUUCUAACGCUAUCACUGGUAAGGGGGUACUGUGGCGGCACUCGACAAGCCAAAUACCACCACCACUCGACACUAACUAGUGUAGGACGACGGCAGCGCAGUGGUUACCCCUCCCCACCCCUCCCAGUCCAUCCCCUCCCAGCCCCUCCCUAAUAGGCUAGCGAACUGUCCUGUUUUUGCGUCCAGGCUUUCAGGACAUAAAUUAAAAUAUCGUACAUAAGCACAGCGCAACAGCGGCUUAAUUUUAUUUUAUUUAACAAUAAUAAUCUUAAAAAAAAAAAAAAAUAGAAAAGAAUGUAGUAAUGCAUGGCUACGUCGUACCGCCGCGUAUCGGUACUCUUGCCUGUACCACCCUACAAUUAGAAUUCAGCGUUUAUUCUGGAAAAAAAAUGAUGUAAAAAAAUAUGUAAAUAACCUGGAACAAAUAAACAGAGAUAAAAAAAAAAAAAAAAAAAGCAGCGCAGUGGUUAAGUUGGUGUUAGGUUGCGAACGUUCGGAACCCGGGUUCGAAUCCCGGCGACCGGAGUCCGAAUUUACUCCCACGCACCGAAAAACGGAGGAAAAAUCAGCAGUACCCCGGCAGCGACAUCUACAGCCCCCAGUGACAAUUGCAGCGGACCAGGCCCAACUACUACAACUAUAACUCACUCACGGCCACCCUCAACACGUAUACAGAUCGAAAUGACAGUACUUUUUAAAGGAUUGACACACAUAAGGUGAUAUGUAUAGCGGACUUCUUUUUAAGCGUGCAAUUCGUUGGCCAAAUGAGACUUAACGCGGUGUGAUUAUGCAAUCGUUUUAUUUUCCCCCUGUUGACUGUUGAUUGUAUGUAUGAUAAUUUAUCGUUUGUGCGAGUGCAUUACUUUAUACGACGUAGGAGAAGAUUAGCGAUAACAAGAAGAAUAACGUGUCGUCGAUAUAAUAGAAAUACGUAAAUAGAAUGCUUCAUAAGACUUAGAUAUUAUUAUAUACGCAUCGUUCGAUCCGUUUGUGUUCCUGCACGAUGUAGAUUUUGGAGAAAUAUCGAAGAAAUCGAUUUUCUUAUCGAGUUUCCUUCGUUCCGUAUAUUUCGUUCGACCGAAUUUUGAUUUUACUCGUUGCACAUUUAAAUCCCUUUCGAUGUGUGAAUGUAUCCAUGAAAUUAAUUAAAUC